Molecule: small nuclear RNA, 103 nt
Organism: Molossus molossus (Pallas's mastiff bat)
Lineage: Eukaryota; Metazoa; Chordata; Mammalia; Chiroptera; Molossidae
Source: RefSeq, a predicted model, not a curated record
UUGCUUCGGCAGCACAUACACUAAAAUCAGAACCAUACAGAGAAAGGUAGCAUGGCUCCUUCAUAAAAAUGACACAAAAAUUUGUGAAGCAUUCCACAUUUUG